RNAcentral lists this unclassified non-coding RNA (3196 nucleotides) under Daphnia magna. RNAcentral describes it as "head-specific guanylate cyclase, transcript variant X6". The record is from RNAcentral. Lineage: Eukaryota; Metazoa; Arthropoda; Branchiopoda; Diplostraca; Daphniidae.
GUGGCAAAUAGCCCGGGAAAACGUCUUUGUCAGCCAUUGGGACAGCACUCUCUGCUUCAGUUUCGUCUUGUCCUGCUCUUAUUCGAGAUAGUCGAUAAUCCAAGGAAAAGAGAUGAAGACGUAAAAAAGCUGCAUCCUGGCAGUGCGUGAAUAGGAGGCAAAAAGAGGAUGACAAUGGCUUCGUUCGUCGUCGUCUCGCCUGCAAAUGGAGUAUCCGACAACGCGUUGCAGAUGGCGCCCAAUCCCGAUUGAAAGCUAAGAAAGGUCUUCUUCUCAGGACACACAUGUCAUCCGUAAUCCGAUGGGAUGUGAAAUGGUGUUGCUGUAAUGUCAAAAAUUACACAGCCAAAGGAAGACAUUUACCCUUGGCAAUUGCCUGGACAGAAUGAUCGAAAAAUGGAAAGGAAAAGAAUAAGGAAGAAGCGCGUCAAGAGUCGUGCCUGGUGUAGGAGUAGCGACAUGCGCGCCAAAUGCACUCGCUAGAGCUCGUUGUGGACGACGUGCACCAGCAGACAAGGAGCGAGUGAGAGAGAAGAGAAUUGGGGGUAGGUGCUGAAUGCAGUCGGCAGUCUUCUGGUCCCCUCCAGUCCCGCACCAACUCGACUUGCGUUCGAUACGAACAUCCAAAAGGUUCGACCCUCAUCCAUCUGUUUCGCCAUAGAAAACGGGGUAAAAGGCGAUUGGCAGCCGUUAGCUCUAGACUGGCUGAAGAAAAAAAGUGUGCAACGGACGGAAAGCCAACGGCAGAACUGGUCUACUCUAAUAAUCUUCUAAAGAUUAAUAGUUAUACACAUCAAUCGACAUGGCCGAAGGAUUCAUUUGCUCGCGAUUUCGACGGCCAACUGAACCUUGUCCUGUUGUCGAGCAACAACAACAACAGCCGGUGACGCGAUUUGGUCAACAAACACCAAACGAUCGGCAGCAGUCGCAAGAUUACGAACUGUCUCGUCCACAGGAGACGGGAUCAGAAAAGAGGACCCUCAACAUCCGGCUGCUCAGUGAAGCCAUCAGCUCGCUCGUCCUUUUACCGGAAAGUUGUCUGCAACGGGCCGUCCAUCAAUGGGAUCGCCUGAAUCCUCACCACGACGAUGGUAGCGCCAGCGAGAGCAACGCAACGGCUGGACAAAGCCACUUGGACGAUGCCCGAUUGGCUGCCGAGAUGACGGACAAGUCGAUCGCUGAACCAGAAUCCCUCUUCCUGCACAGCUGCUGGAACGCGACCAAUCAUUUACCAGAGAUCCAGCGACGGCAGUUUUUGGAGCGUAUGGGCGAAGCUUUCCUCUUGGCCGUGCUGGAUGAGUAUUGCGGGGCUCUGCAGUCCCUGGGCAGCGACCUUUUUGGCUUCCUGCAGAAUCUUGGUAGCGUUUACCAAGAGAUGAAAACGACGUCUAGCGGCAACCGAACUAGUAGUAGUAGCAGCAGCAACGACGAAGGCAACAUCAUCAUCUCCAAUCAUUACGACAUUUCUUUCAGUUGCGUGCCGGAACAAGGCCGUUUGACGCUUCACUUCCGCACGGCCCUGGCCGCUUGCGGUUAUCUAUGGGCCGGGGUUCUCAAGGGUAUCGCCACGCACCUGUUUCACGUCGGUGUCACCAUCCGCGUCACCAUUUACGAACUCAAAUCGAAAUCGGCUCUUCGCUAUCAUUUCUGUUUUUCAAUGCCCUUCGUCGACGAAGACGAGGCGUUGGCGAGGUCCACGGCCAUAACCGAAGACGAAGAGCACGUUCUCCUCUCCAAGACGCGAUCGCUGAUUUGUUUUGACGACCCUUCCGCCAUGGCCUCGUCGGUGACGGACGACCAGCCGACCCGGCCGUUCCAACGAGCUCCCCACUUGUCCGACUUGAAGCAACGAGAUUCGUUGAAUCUUCGCUCGUUCGAGUCGACGACCACGUCCGUGUCGACGUCGACUUGUAUGAGCCAAAAUUACAUUGGGACGUCGACGUUUUGCCGCGCUUUUCCCUGGCAUUUUAUGGUGGACCGUCACCUGCAGUUGGUCCAGUUGGGCGUCGGCUUUAUGCGCCUCUUUGGCGCCGAGUUGAAGAAGAUGGGUCGUCACUUGGCAACUUAUUUCCAGAUGAAGAAACCCACAGUGGAGCCCAACUUUGACAAGAUCCUCAAAAAGGCCAACAGCCCUUUUAUCCUGGCUGUUUGUCACGUGACAAAGGACAGUCGCAAGACCAAACUUGAGGGGCUGGAAUUCAAAGGACAAAUGCUCUACUGCCACGAGUCUGACUGUUUGCUGUUCUUGGCUUCGCCGUUGGUCGACGGCCUGGAGGCAUUGACGAGUCGCGGUCUCUUCAUCUCCGACAUCCCAAUCCACGACGCGACGCGGGAUAUCGUCCUCAUCGGAGAGCAAGCUCGUGCUCAGGACGGAAUGAAACGCCGACUGGACAAGUUGAAGAAAAAUAUUGAAGAGGCAACGGUGGCCGUCGAACAAGAACGGGAAAAAAAUGUUUCGCUGCUCCAUCUCAUCUUCCCGCCAGACAUCGCCAAGAGGCUUUGGCUGGGCGAAUCGAUCGAGGCGCAGAGUCACGACAAUGUGACGAUGCUCUUUAGUGACUUGGUCGGCUUCACGGCCAUUUGUUCCACGGCAACUCCGAUGGAGAUCAUCAGUCUCCUCCAAUCGCUUUACACUCAAUUUGACGUCCUUUGCGGCGAUCUCGACAUCUACAAGGUGGAGACCAUCGGUGACGCUUAUUGCGCCGCUGGCGGCCUGCACCGCGCCAGCUCCACUCACGCACAACAAAUUGCUUGGAUGGCGCUCUGCAUGCUGGAAGUGUGCCGAUUCCACCAGACUCACGACGGACAGCCCAUUCAGAUGCGCAUCGGACUGCAUACGGGGACGGUUUUGGCUGGCGUCGUCGGACGCAAGAUGCCAAGGUAUUGCCUCUUUGGCAACAACGUCACCCUGGCGAACAAGUUUGAAUCGACUAGCGUCCCCUUCCGUACCAACAUUAGUCCGUCUACAUACGAAUAUUUCACUUAGUGGUGACUCACUCGUGCUCUUCAUUUAAAAAGAAAACAAUUGAUUUAACGCCACAACUGUGAAACAUUUAUGACAGGCUGUUGAAUAUUGAACGUUAACGUGUGACGUUGGUGGGUUUUGCCGAUAAGACGCGCGACUGGCGGACGUCUGUAGCUGCAACGACGCAACAUGCUUUCCUUGUGGUAUGAGAGAACAUGCUAGACCGGACGU